CGACCAAGCACACGGGCCUGCUGGUCUCGUCGAUUGUCGAGCAUGGCUGCAA
This 52-nucleotide non-coding RNA is filed under the name Sexangularia sp. CB-2014. Lineage: Eukaryota; Tubulinea; Elardia; Arcellinida. The record is from RNAcentral.